Molecule: ribosomal RNA, 253 nt
Filed under: uncultured bacterium
Lineage: Bacteria
Description: partial 16S ribosomal RNA
Rfam family: Bacterial small subunit ribosomal RNA
Source: RNAcentral
UACGGGGGGAGCAAACGUUGUCCGGAAUCAUUGGGCGUAAAGAGCGUGUAGGCGGUCCGGUAAGUCGGCUGUGAAAGUCCAGGGCUCAACCCUGGGAUGCCGGUCGAUACUGCCGGACUAGAGUUCGGAAGAGGCGAGUGGAAUUCCCGGUGUAGCGGUGAAAUGCGCAGAUAUCGGGAGGAACACCAAUGGCGAAGGCAGCUCGCUGGGACGUUACUGACGCUGAGACGCGAAAGCGUGGGGAGCAAACAGG